Molecule: transfer RNA, 76 nt
Filed under: Sphingobium chungbukense
Lineage: Bacteria; Pseudomonadati; Pseudomonadota; Alphaproteobacteria; Sphingomonadales; Sphingobiaceae
Description: tRNA-Lys
Rfam family: tRNA
About the family: Transfer RNA (tRNA) molecules are approximately 80 nucleotides in length.
Source: RNAcentral
GGGUCCAUAGCUCAGUCGGUAGAGCAACUGACUUUUAAUCAGUAGGUCGCUGGUUCGAAUCCAGCAGGGCUCACCA